Molecule: long non-coding RNA, 319 nt
Filed under: Malus domestica (apple)
Lineage: Eukaryota; Viridiplantae; Streptophyta; Magnoliopsida; Rosales; Rosaceae
Description: long non-coding RNA (MDOM_LNC001501)
Source: RNAcentral
AAAAUUUGUUUAUUUGGAGCAAGGUUUUGUGUUGAAGCUUUGUAGGUGAAGCUUUGGUGUUGAAGCUUUGUAGGUGAAGCUUUGAUGGUGAAGCUUUGUAGAUGAAGCUUUGUAGAUGAAGCUUUCUAGGUGAAGCUUUGAUGGUGAAAGUAUGUAGAGGGAGCUUUCUAGGUGAAGCUUUUUUAGGUGAAGCUUUGUAGGUGAAGCUUUUUUAAGUGAAGCUUUUCGGGUGAAGUUUUUUUUUUGGUGAAGCUUUGUGGGUGAAGCUUUUUAGGUGAAGCUUUGUGGGUGAAGCUUUGGAGGUGAAGCUUUUCGGGUG